CCUACGGGUGGCAGCAGUGGGGAAUAUUGGACAAUAGGGGGAACCCUGAUCCAGCCAUGCCGCGUGUGUGAAGAAGGCCCUCGGGUUGUAAAGCACUUUCAGGGAGGAAGAACGCCUGGUGGUUAAUACCCAUCAGGAAAGACAUCACUCACAGAAGAAGCACCGGCUAACUCCGUGCCAGCAGCCGCGGUAAUACGGAGGGUGCGAGCGUUAAUCGGAAUUACUGGGCGUAAAGCGCGCGUAGGUGGCUUGAUAAGCCGGUUGUGAAAGCCCCGGGCUCAACCUGGGAACGGCAUCCGGAACUGUCAAGCUAGAGUGCAGGAGAGGAAGGUAGAAUUCCCGGUGUAGCGGUGAAAUGCGUAGAGAUCGGGAGGAAUACCAGUGGCGAAGGCGGCCUUCUGGACUGACACUGACACUGAGGUGCGAAAGCGUGGGUAGCAAACAGGAUUAGAUACCCUGGUAGUC
Molecule: ribosomal RNA, 465 nt
Filed under: Vreelandella stevensii
Lineage: Bacteria; Pseudomonadati; Pseudomonadota; Gammaproteobacteria; Oceanospirillales; Halomonadaceae
Description: partial 16S ribosomal RNA
Rfam family: Bacterial small subunit ribosomal RNA
Source: RNAcentral